CUUUAGCCCUGAUGGAAGCGACAUCCUUUUAUUCUGGUGUUCAGAAUAAAAGAUAUAGCGCACAGCAGGAAGGAUG
RNAcentral lists this small RNA (76 nucleotides) under Flavobacterium granuli. RNAcentral's name for it is "Flavo-1 RNA". It matches the Rfam family "Flavo-1 RNA". Lineage: Bacteria; Pseudomonadati; Bacteroidota; Flavobacteriia; Flavobacteriales; Flavobacteriaceae. The record is from RNAcentral.